Molecule: small RNA, 284 nt
Rfam family: 5' ureB small RNA
Source: Rfam
CCGCCUGCUGGGGACAAAUAAAGUGCACGUGGGCGUCCAUACCCCCCGCCGUCAAAAUCAUCCCUUCCGCCGCAAUCACAUCCGUGCCUACCCCAAUCACCAUGCCGGGCGUCACGUUCGCCAUCAUGUCGGGGUUUCCCGCUUUCCCGAUCCCGACGAUCCGAUGUCCCCGCAGACCCACAUCUGCCUUGUAGAUGCCCGUGUAGUCCACCACCAGCGCGUUCGUCAACACGGUUUCCAAGCACGUCUCCGUCUCCAACGUCGCCUGGCCCAUCCCUUCCCGG